AUGUAUAGUUUUGUAAUUUUGGUAUAAUGUUAUUAAUUUUUUUUUUGUUAUUAGUUGUUAUUUGAUUAAGAGUAAAUAGUUUUUUUAAGUUUUAGUUUUUUUAUUUGUAAAAUGGAGAUAAUAUUUUAUUUAUUGUAUAGAGUUAUAAUGAGGGUUUAUAUAGUUAAUAUUUGUAAAGAUUUAGGAAAGUGUAUAUAGGAAGU
This 203-nucleotide unclassified non-coding RNA is filed under the name Hevea brasiliensis (rubber tree). Lineage: Eukaryota; Viridiplantae; Streptophyta; Magnoliopsida; Malpighiales; Euphorbiaceae. The record is from RNAcentral.